UACGUAGGUGGCAAGCGUUGUCCGGAUUUAUUGGGCGUAAAGCGAGCGCAGGCGGUCAAUUAAGUCUGAUGUGAAAGCCCCCGGCUCAACCGGGGAGGGUCAUUGGAAACUGGUUGACUUGAGUGCAGAAGAGGAGAGUGGAAUUCCAUGUGUAGCGGUGAAAUGCGUAGAUAUAUGGAGGAACACCAGUGGCGAAGGCGACUCUCUGGUCUGUAACUGACGCUGAGGCUCGAAAGCGUGGGUAGCAAACAGGAUUAGAUACCCCGGUAGUCC
Molecule: ribosomal RNA, 273 nt
Filed under: uncultured bacterium
Lineage: Bacteria
Description: partial 16S ribosomal RNA
Rfam family: Bacterial small subunit ribosomal RNA
Source: RNAcentral